GACGAACGCUGGCGGCGUGCUUAACACAUGCAAGUCGAACGGUGAAGCGCCUUCCUUUUUGGUGGGUGUGGAUGAGUGGCGAACGGGUGAGUAACACGUGAGUAACCUGCCCCCUUCUUCUGGAUAACCGCAUGAAAGUGUGGCUAAUACGGGAUAUUCUGGUUCUGUCGCAUGAUGGGUCUGGGAAAGAUAUUGUUUCGGUGGGGGAUGGGCUCGCGGCCUAUCAGCUUGUUGGUGGGGUGAUGGCCUACCAAGGCGGUGACGGGUAGCCGGCCUGAGAGGGUGGACGGUCACACUGGGACUGAGACACGGCCCAGACUCCUACGGGAGGCAGCAGUGGGGAAGAUUGAACAAUGGGCGAAAGCCUGAUGCAGCGACGCCGCGUGAGGGAUGGAGGCCUUCGGGUUGUGAACCUCUUUCGCCAGUGAAGCAGGCCUGCCUCGUUUGUGGGUGGGUUGACGGUAGCUGGAUAAGAAGCGCCGGCUAACUACGUG
Molecule: ribosomal RNA, 494 nt
Filed under: uncultured bacterium
Lineage: Bacteria
Description: partial 16S ribosomal RNA
Rfam family: Bacterial small subunit ribosomal RNA
Source: RNAcentral